Molecule: microRNA precursor, 65 nt
Organism: Medicago truncatula (barrel medic)
Lineage: Eukaryota; Viridiplantae; Streptophyta; Magnoliopsida; Fabales; Fabaceae
Rfam family: MIR5291 microRNA precursor family
Source: Rfam
GAUGGAUCAAAUCCAAUCCAUUAACAAAAAAAUUUGUUUGAUGGAUAGAUUGGAUGUAUUUUAUA